ACGCGCCGCCCGCCGGAGGGGCGUGUGUGCGCGAGCCCGGGGUGGGUGCCCCGGUAGGUGCGGGCGUGUGUGUCCUGGGAGGGGCCUCGCGGAGAGCCGCGGCCCGGCGUGGGGGGUGUGCCUGACGCGCGCCUGUGCCCGGCGGGACGCAGAGGGUGGCUUCCGCAGCUCGGGAACCCUGCUUUGCAGCCUGCACCCCGGCUCCCGUGUGGCCGCUGUUGUCUUGUCUGUCGCCCAACGGUGCGCUCAGCCCAGCCCUGCUUGGACGCUGUUCACGCCCCUGCGCUCGGUCCCUUGCUCCUGUCCUCUCUUUCCCAUUCCACUCGCAGCAGAGCAGGGUGGGCUCCUGCCCUCUCUGCUGUCGAGAAGCCUGGUCACUGGCUUAUCAGGUUCAGUACCGAAACUGGAGGUUUAAUGCGCUAGGGGUUCUCAGUAACAGGCUCCAGUGCCUAGUUGAUCUUAUUUGUGGGAAGCAGGUUAAUUUUUCGUCUAUUAAAGGCUAGAACGUUCCUGAUUAGAAGGUGUUACCAGGUUGUAAAUUGUCAGGUUGUAAGUGGGUGUGCGGGUGCCAAGCUUCUGCCCAUAGGUCAGAAUCAGAAGCAGCUUGUGUUUUGGGGGGAUUGGGAGAGUGCCCCAAACCUGCUGUUGCCUUCUCUGGACAGGACUUGUCAUGGUGUAGCUUUCCAUCUCCUGUAACAGCCCGCAGGGAGGACUAGACAUUCUUUGGUUGCAGCAAAUUUGGCGUUGUCUUCCUGAUGAAUUCAGUUAUGGGGCUUCUGGUUGCCAGUUUCUCCUUUCUUUGGACGAGAAAGGAUUGAAGUCAUCUGGAUAAAGGACAGACUUUGGAAGGAGGGACUUCCAUCUUUUUUAUAUGUAUUGUGUAAGGCAGUAUGUUGUGAACUGUUUAUACGUUGUGGGAAAAAACCCCAACAAGACCUGCUCGAGGUUUGGGUAGUCCUACUUAUGUUUAAGUAUCAAAGUAAUGGUACUGGUAGGUUGGCAGGGUUGGAGAGCUGUGACUUUAGCGUCCUAGAUGCAGGUCUGCGUAAUGGCUUUUCAGGGAUAGGAAGUCCCCCAGGUUUUAAUCCAGUAUUUCGCUCUCCUGCCUUGAACCUGACCAUUUAGGCGCUUGCAAUCUUGCUGAAUACUUAUAAAAUGUUACCUGUUUUUUGCAGAAAAAUCUUCUUUUAAUGAAAUUUCUUUAUUGUUUACCAAGACACUUCCUGUAUAGCUCCACCAUGAAUUUUAGGAAUUAAGUUUAGGAAAGCGAAACACAAUUUUGGAACACUUUUUAUAGAAGCACAAGUAAUCCUUUCAGAUGUCAGGACAUAUUAAUAAUUACAUUAAAAUAUAUUCAGAUUUAUUUGCAGUGAAAAGUUUACCUUUGGUAAAGAUGUUAAAUUUUGAAACAUAUUUUAACUUUUGCUCAGUUUCACUGGAGCCUUGUUAACCUUCAUUUGUCUUUUAGUGAAGGGAGAGGAAAAUUUGAUCAGAAGUAAUUUUGAUAAUUCUAACGUAUUGGAUAUUCUGUCAUUGCCACAUAUUGUGUACUCUCAUAAUUUUAUAUCAGCUUCCCCUUUUCCUACAUUGUGGACGUUAUUAAUUUAUAAAACAAACGUGGGUUUUCUUUGGGCCAAGCACUGUACUAGGACGCAUGAAACAUAAUACUGCUCUGAGGUAGCUGAAGCUACUGUCGUUAAACACAGCUAUAUGGUAGAUCUAUGUUUUUUUGUUUUUUAAUUCAUAUAUAAGGGAGGAACCUAUAUGUAGUAUGAUUUUAUAAAUUACAGGUUCUGGUAGUCUAUAUUUUCAAUAUGAUGGAAACAUCACAUAAUUGUCCUCUAGCAGUAAAAGUAAGGUUAUUGCUACAUUGAUCUGACAGUUGCAGGGUUUAUGAUGGCUCUCAAAAAGAUAAAAUUGUGUUUACGAUUUUAAUGUCUUUGAUGGUUUUGGAAAAAAGCUUGUUUUGGGGACUUAUGCAUUAAGUACGUUUCAGGAAAAGAUACCUGAUCUAUUUGAAACACAUUUUAUCUGUUCUUGUAUUAUUAGAAUUUCUUUUGAGGUAGUUCAGUGUAUUGUCAAGAUAAGCCCCAAAUUCCCUUUUCAUAAAUAGAAAAUGAAGUAUUGACUUAGUUUAGUUUGAUAUAUAAAAUGACAUUAGACUUAACAUCAACUCUCCAUUACAAACAGCAAUGAAAGAGAAUAGUGGUACAAGAGAUACAAAACUUUUUCGUGCUGAGUUUUGGAAGACAAUAUAGUUUUAUAGCAAGCUCAUCUUUCUAGUGGAGUCUAAAGGUCGUUUUAAAUUUAGUUUUUAUUAACCUUAUGGACUGCAGGAGAUUGGCAGCGUGAAAUCAUCAUAGCCUGAAGAGGGUUAUCAACUUGGCAUUAACUUUUUUCUUUUUCUGUGGAGAAUCUACAGGCAUUCCCAUGGUGCCUAGAAGAUUCAGGUGGAACUGGCAAAACCUUUUUAUGUGCCUGUGUUUUGCUGGGCGGCAGUCAUUUAGAAUAAAUACUCUUCUGUGCUGCAUAUUCUUUUGCUCCUCCAGAUCUUUUCUUCACCCUGCUCUGUGCUGAGAAGCGACUUCUGUGGACUGCAUCAACAGAGCUCUUGCUUUUAGUUUUUGGUUGGCUUUGGCUAAUGGGUCAUCAGCAGGAGGCCUGGAAGAGCCAGUUCCUUGCUCCUGGAUUUAUGUUGCCAGAGCUGUUCUGUGUUUUGUGAGUAGGUCAUGGCUUCUAUUCAGUGGCCCCCUCUGCCAGCCUGCUACAGUUACAGAUCUUUCUGAGUUCUGGUAACCCUUUAUUUGCCCCUUUAGGCCUCAAGAUGAUAAUGGCUUCCUCAUGCUGCUGGUCUGGGAGUAUGCCACCAUCCCUUGCUGCUUUCCCUAAACCCUGCCUAUGCCUUUGAAGAUGGUUCCUUCAUUAAAUUCUCUUGAAUAUUUUA
This is a non-coding RNA of Equus caballus (horse), 2944 nucleotides long. NCBI's taxonomy places the organism in Eukaryota, Metazoa, Chordata, Mammalia, Perissodactyla, Equidae. The record is from RefSeq and is a predicted model, not a curated record.